RNAcentral lists this transfer RNA (82 nucleotides) under Actinomycetes bacterium. RNAcentral's name for it is "tRNA-Leu". It matches the Rfam family "tRNA". Rfam says of the family: Transfer RNA (tRNA) molecules are approximately 80 nucleotides in length. Their secondary structure includes four short double-helical elements and three loops (D, anti-codon, and T loops). Lineage: Bacteria; Bacillati; Actinomycetota; Actinomycetes. The record is from RNAcentral. RNAcentral also lists the same sequence under 3 other names.
GCGGGAGUGGUGGAAUUGGCAGACACGCAGGUUUUAGGUACCUGUGUCUUCGGACGUGCGGGUUCAAGUCCCGCCUCCCGCA